GUUAUUUUGGCAGAAUAGUGCAUUUGAUUUAGAAUCGAAUAAUAUAAUAUAUUAAUAUUAUAAAUAAUA
Molecule: transfer RNA, 69 nt
Filed under: Cobelura sp. KM-2017
Lineage: Eukaryota; Metazoa; Arthropoda; Insecta; Coleoptera; Cerambycidae
Description: tRNA-Leu
Source: RNAcentral